This is a non-coding RNA of Pelobates cultripes (western spadefoot toad), 321 nucleotides long. The record is from the annotation of a GenBank genome assembly. NCBI's taxonomy places the organism in Eukaryota, Metazoa, Chordata, Amphibia, Anura, Pelobatidae.
CAAUAACAUUGUCUGACCACAGUCCAAUUUUGUUGAAACUAUCGCUGACCAAGAAAUUAAGACCCUUUGUAAGUUGGAAGAUGAAUAAUAAAAUACUUUAAUGGUCAGAGACUAAAUAUCUAAUUGAUUCUGCAUUGAAUGAAUAUUUUACUAUGAAUGAUACUCCCGACAUCAUACUGGAGUACCUUUGGUUAGGUCACAAAGCAGUAAUUAGAGGCAAAUUUAUAUCUCAUGCAUCAUAUGUAGCUAAACAAAAAAAGAAAGAGCUGAACUCAACUAAUAGAACUUGAAAGAGUAUAUAGAACUAGACCUUAAGAAAAU